Long non-coding RNA from Ipomoea nil (Japanese morning glory), 1509 nucleotides. RefSeq lists it as uncharacterized. The record is from RefSeq and is a predicted model, not a curated record. The transcript is spliced from 7 exons. Lineage: Eukaryota; Viridiplantae; Streptophyta; Magnoliopsida; Solanales; Convolvulaceae.
GUCAUUCUACCCCUCUCCGUGGCACCACAAAUCGGCGCUCAGCCAACGCCCACCGCCACACCGCCCCUCACAACCACCGCCAUCGCCUUCGUCUUCUUCUUCUCCCCAAACAAAGUUCGAGCGCCCACAACACAGCCACAACCGCACAACCACUGCAGGCCCCGCGGCACAGCCUCCACCGCACUGGAUCACAAAUGAACCGCCGCACUGCGUUCCCGCCGCACCGCGUUCCCACCUCCCCGCAUGCACGACCUACCUUCAAAGAGCUCAUGUACCAGCAAGUUCUCCUGCGGUUUGCACAUUUUAAUGCCAUCCAAUUAAUUGAGCCAACCUUGUGCUUGUUUAUAGACAGACUUGUAGAUUUUGGUGCUCUCAAGAGGGCAAUUGAAAUAGUUCGUGGUGCAACAUUGCCUAAAGCAUCAAAACCAUUUGUGUAUAUGUCAAUCACUUUACCUGCUGAGCAUGUUGAUGUGAAUGUACACCCCACAAAGAGAGAUGUAUUGAUGAUUGUGCUGUUAGUUUCAUUAAUUGAUGCUCGUGGGAAGGUUAGCCUUUUGAACCAAGAGCUGAGGUUAUUAUUGAGAAGAUACAAUCUGUGGUAGAAUUAAAGCUGAGAAGUUCCAAUGAGUCAAGGACAUUCCAAGAGCAGACAAUGGAUCCUUCUUCAUCUAGUCCUUUGCCUACAAACCAAGGUCCACAAAAUUAAAAGAUCCCUCCAAUCUGGGAUAAAAUCACAAAAAACUCGAGUUCAUAAAAUGAUAAGGACAGAUUCACUUUGGUAGAUUGACUGGGAGGAUGAAAAGAAUUGUUUUCAAUCAAUUUCUGCUGCUCUUGCCAACUUCUAUGCCAUGCAUACUCCUUUGCUACCCAAUCCCUCAGGUUGAGCUCCGACGCUGUGGUGUUGACUGUUAAUUGGCUUUUGGGUUGUUACCUAUGGAUAGAAGUAUGAAAGAUGCAGCCGGUGCUGGUUCUUUGCCUGACAAGACAACCACUGAUGCUAGACAAUUAAUAUCAACCAUGGAAGAAAACUCUCAACAAUACAGGACACGAGCGGAUGGGUAUAUCCAUAGAGUUAAUGAGGUAAGUACUUCUCAACUUUGAGAAUAAAAUUUCUAAUUUGACUACUUUUGUGCGCCAAAUGGUUGUAGGAAAAAUGCAGUCCACAGGAACAUGUGAAGUAUGUUCAUUUGUCAGGCAUUCCAUAGACAUGUGCCCAACAUUGCAAAAUCCAAAUCAAGAGUUGAAUGCAAUAGGGGGAUUUUCCUGGUCAACCCAACCAAAAAAUAUGAUCCUUUUCAAACUAGUAUAAUCCGGAUGGUGAGAUCAUCCAAACUUGAGCUAUGGGAACCAAGGGGCACACUAAGGUUUUAGAGAGAAUUUUAGACAAUUCCUAGUACCUCAAUAAUUUCAACCCCAAGCUUCAAAUUUUGGUAUGUCUUUAGAUAAAAUUGUUAAAGCACUUGCUUAUAACACUCGAUAGUUUCAAUAAGAAACAAGGGCAUGUAUUAA